This 1397-nucleotide ribosomal RNA is filed under the name marine metagenome. Its description in RNAcentral is "bacterial LSU rRNA". It matches the Rfam family "Bacterial large subunit ribosomal RNA", at positions 693 to 2202 of the family's 2925-position model. The record is from RNAcentral.
CGAUUUAGUACUUUGGAUUAAACCCGAAACCGAGUGAUCUAGCCAUGAGCAGGUUGAAGAUAAGGUAACACUUAUUGGAGGACCGAACCAGUUGACGUUGAAAAGUCUUUGGAUGACUUGUGGUUAGGGGUGAAAGGCCAAUCAAACUCGGAUAUAGCUGGUUCUCCGCGAAAACUAUUUAGGUAGUGCGUCAUAUGAAUACCAUCGGGGGUAGAGCACUGGAUGGGCAAGGGGGGAGAGAUCCUUACUAAGUCCAACCAAACUCCAAAUACCGAUGAGUACUAUAUGGCAGACAGACUACGGGUGCUAAGGUCCGUAGUCGAAAGGAAAACAGUCCAGACCAACAGCUAAGGUCCCCAAGUUAUUGUUAAGUGGGAAAGGAUGUCGGACGACCAAAACAGCCAGGAGGUUGGCUUAGAAGCAGCCAUCCUUUAAAGAAAGCGUAACAGCUCACUGGUCUAAUUAAGUUGUCCGGCGCCGAAGAUGUAACGGGGCUAAACAAUACACCGAAGCUUUGGACACAAUUUAUUGUGUGGUAGCGGAGCGUUCCGUACGUUGUUGAAGGGAGACUCGUGAGAGCUCCUGGAGAUAUCGGAAGUGAGAAUGCUGACAUGAGUAGCGACAAACAGAGUGAGAAACUCUGUCGCCGAAAAUCCAAGGGUUCCUGCGCAAGGCUAAUCCGCGCAGGUUGAGUCGGCUCCUAAGGCAAGGACGAAAGUCGUAGUCGAUGGGAACAAGGUUAAUAUUCCUUGACCAGAUGAGAUGUGACGGAUGACGUAAAUUGUCUAUCCUUAUAUGGAUUGGAUAGGCAGUGAAGUUGUUCCAGGAAAUAGCCUCAUCAUAGACCGUACCCGAAACCGACACAGGUGGAUAGGUAGAAGAUACCAAGGCGCUUGAGAGAACUAUGCUGAAGGAACUCGGCAAAAUGCCUCUGUAACUUCGGAAGAAGGAGGACCUAUGUUUGGGCAACCAGAUGUAGGUGGCACAGAAAUGGGGGUAGCAACUGUUUAUUAAAAACACAGGACUCUGCAAAGCCGCAAGGCGAAGUAUAGGGUCUGACGCCUGCCCGGUGCCGGAAGAUUAAAGUGAGUGGUGCAAGCUACAAACUGAAGUCCCGGUGAACGGCGGCCGUAACUAUAACGGUCCUAAGGUAGCGAAAUUCCUUGUCGGGUAAGUUCCGACCUGCACGAAUGGCGUAAUGAUUUCCCCGCUGUCUCCAGCGUAGACUCAGCGAAAUUGAAUUCUCCGUGAAGAUGCGGAGUACCCGCGGUUAGACGGAAAGACCCCGUGCACCUUUACUAUAGCUUUACAUUGGUGUUAGAAAUUGCAUGUGUAGGAUAGGUGGUAGACUUUGAAGUAAGGGCGCCAGCCUUUAUGGAGUCAUCCUUGAAAUACCA